This 2546-nucleotide long non-coding RNA is filed under the name Salmo salar (Atlantic salmon). RNAcentral describes it as "lncRNA (ENSSSAG00000090986.1)". The record is from RNAcentral. Lineage: Eukaryota; Metazoa; Chordata; Actinopteri; Salmoniformes; Salmonidae.
AAGCAAUCCAGUUAGAAGUCUCAUCUUAAUCCAUCGUGACCAACACACUAACAUUUUCUAGGAACAAUUCUACAUGGAAUGUCCUUCCCCUUAAUGUUGCGGUGUCAGUUAUUGUCGAACUGCACAGCGACCGUCGGUGAAAGUAAUGUUUUUGGCAUCCUGUUGACCGAGUCUGCUACAAAUGAGCAGGAACGGCUUCGAUAGGUGCCUGUGUAUAGACUAGAUGAACAGAUUCCAGCUAUGUGAUGAAGCUCACCUGUGCUGCAUUUGCCAGAUUGGUUGGGAUGAUCGUAUGACUUGAGGUCUACCUAUAAAAAAUAAAAUCCAAAAUGUUUUAAAUUGUUUGGUACAGUAACGUUAAGCCUACCGUUAACGUAAGCCUACACCGCUGGCUGUACAAAAUGGAACAUUACAGCCAGCAUAACUAAAAUAAAGUCAAUAUUCCACCCACAAAAAGUUACUGAUAAUGUACAACUUAGAGGCCGCCGGUCAAAUAUUUCUGCCUCUGAAAGAUUCAGCCGGAAAAGUGAAGACUCUGCAUCGUUAAGGGCCGCGUGCAGCAGUGCCACGUGGAAACUGGAAUAGUCAGCUAACAAUAAAACUUCUCGCACGAGUAGGUCCAUCACCACUUCCUACUACCGUAACUCAGUGGGCGGGCUCCUUGUGUUCGACCUGACCAAUCACAAGACCUUCGACCACGUGAGGGAGUGGCACAAGGAAGUGAGCGAGCACAUCCUGCCGCACAACAUGGUCUACAUCCUGAUUGGCCACAAAAGCGACCUAAACAAGGACCGGAAGGUGACGCGGGACGAGGCUGAGCAGCUGGCGGCGGAGAUGGGGAUCCGCUAUGUGGAGACGUCGGCUAAGUGCAACAGCAACGUGGAACGUGCCUUCCAGCUGCUCAGCAGGGACAUCUAUGAGCUGAUGAAGAUGGGGCAGAUCACCACGAGGGACGGGUGGGAUGGGGUGAAGAGUGGCCUCACUACCAGGGUCCUGUACCCGGGUGAUGAGGACAUUGAGGUGGAGCCGAGGGAGAAGAGUUGCAACUGCUGAGAGACUGACCUUCGAUCCCUGACCUCAUCAAUGGUAAUGUUCAUUACGCACCAAACGGAAGAAAACGGAUUGGAACUGAGAGGGACUACCAGGAAUUGUCCAAUAAGAAACGCAAAUGUAUCUUUUCCGUUGCGAAUCGUUCUAGAACGUGUUCCGAUGCGUUCCCUAAUAAACACGACUCAUGUCUCCACUGUUGUUCCCCCUCUCUUAUCUCCACAAGUAUCUCACAUCAACUCACAGUUUAGUCAGUUUCCCAUUGAAACUAAGCCAUGGUCUAAAGUAAGGCCCUUGUCCUGUGACAUCACGUGUGCACGUGUCACCAUAUGCCUAGUGUAGCUAGCCUGCCAUUCCUCUCUGUAUCAGUUCCUCCAGAGGUCAGGAUGGGGCUGUUUUCUGAUGGGAUUACGUGAUACACAACCUGUAGUACACAUCUUGAUGUGACAAAAGCUUCUCUACAAACACAAAAGUCUGAGUCUUUAGGCCAAACACCAGUGUAAAUCCUUGCAGUGGAAUAGCAUCAUACAUGUACAUGCUAAACCUACACAGUUGAACAUCACCUGGGUAGCUUUGGGCCCAGUUAGGUAAGGCAGACACAGAGGCUGCAUUUACAGAGGCAGCCCAAUCCUGAUAUUUUGCACAAUUAUUGUUCUUUUGACCAUUGAAAAGAGGCCUUUUGACAAUAAUUGGGCAAAAUAUCAGAUAUGGGCUGCUUGUGUAAAUGCAGCCAGAGACACCUGUGUGACAGUGAUCAGGCCUUGGGGUAUUCCAGUACGUAUUCUAUUCCUUCCUGGCAGCAUCCUUUUCCUUCCUGGAUGCCCUUUGCUGCCGCAGGAGUUAUUGGAUUCUUAAGCAGGCAAGGUCUUGACUGGUGGACAAUGCAUGAUUGUGGUCUGGCAUCACUCCCAUUACGUUGUUGUGGGUUGACUCCUGUCUGGCUAAGUGUGUGUGUGUGUGUGUGUGUGUGUGUGUGUGUGUGCGUGCGUGCGUGCAUGCGUGCGUGCGUGCGUGUGUUUGCAUGUGUGUGCCGUUGCUCUGCCUGCAGUCCCCUGAGACUGUACAUCAUGUCCGGUAUGGGCAGUCAUGUAAAAAGUACCCAAUCAUCAUACUUGAGUAAAAGUAAAAAUAUCUUAAUAGAAAAUGACUCAAGUAAAAGUGAAAGUCACCCAGUAAAAUACUACUUGAGUAAAAGUCUAAAAGUAUUUUGUUUUAAAUAUACUUAAGUAUCGAAAGUAAAUGUAAUUGCAAAAAUAUACUUAAAUAUCAAAAGUAAAAGUAAAACUAUUCAUAAUUUCAAAUUGCUUAUAUUAAGCAAACCAGGUGACACACGACAGCACGCAGACAUAAUUUACAAACAAAGAAUUUAUGUUUAGUGAGUUUAGUGACCAGGGAUGCUCUCUUAAUAAGUGUGUGAAUUAGACAAUUUUCCUGUACUGCUAAGCAUUCAAAAUGUAACCAGUACUUUUGUGUGUCAGGGAAAAUGUAUGGACUAAAAA